Molecule: ribosomal RNA, 497 nt
Filed under: uncultured bacterium
Lineage: Bacteria
Description: partial 16S ribosomal RNA
Rfam family: Bacterial small subunit ribosomal RNA
Source: RNAcentral
GAUGAACGCUGGCGGCGUGCCUAAUACAUGCAAGUCGAGCGAACAGACGAGGAGCUUGCUCCUCUGACGUUAGCGGCGGACGGGUGAGUAACACGUGGAUAACCUACCUAUAAGACUGGGAUAACUUCGGGAAACCGGAGCUAAUACCGGAUAAUAUAUUGAACCGCAUGGUUCAAUAGUGAAAGACGGUUUUGCUGUCACUUAUAGAUGGAUCCGCGCCGCAUUAGCUAGUUGGUAAGGUAACGGCUUACCAAGGCAACGAUGCGUAGCCGACCUGAGAGGGUGAUCGGCCACACUUGAACUGAGACACGGUCCAGACUCCUACGGCAGGCAGCAGUAGGGAAUCUUCCGCAAUGGGCGAAAGCCUGACGGAGCAACGCCGCGUGAGUGAUGAAGGUCUUCGGAUCGUAAAACUCUGUUAUUAGGGAAGAACAAAUGUGUAAGUAACUAUGCACGUCUUGACGGUACCUGAUCAGAAAACCACGGCUAACUACGUA